GCCCCGUUAGCUCAGUGGUAGAGCGCCCGGCUGUUAACCGGUAGGUCGGUGGUUCAAGUCCACCACGGGGCG
RNAcentral lists this transfer RNA (72 nucleotides) under archaeon. RNAcentral's name for it is "tRNA-Asn". It matches the Rfam family "tRNA". From Rfam's summary of the family: Transfer RNA (tRNA) molecules are approximately 80 nucleotides in length. Their secondary structure includes four short double-helical elements and three loops (D, anti-codon, and T loops). RNAcentral also lists the same sequence under 1 other name. The record is from RNAcentral.